This is a long non-coding RNA of Felis catus (domestic cat), 2931 nucleotides long. RefSeq lists it as uncharacterized. The transcript is spliced from 6 exons. The record is from RefSeq and is a predicted model, not a curated record. NCBI's taxonomy places the organism in Eukaryota, Metazoa, Chordata, Mammalia, Carnivora, Felidae.
CAAACUAUUUCUGUCAAUGGCCAGAUAGUAAAUAUGGUAGGCUUUGCCGUCUUCCUGGUCUCUGUCACAGAUGCGCAAGUCUGCCUUUGCAGGUGAAAGCAGUAAGACACAAUCAGUAAACAAGUGGGUACAGCCGUGUUCCAGUAAAACUUUGCAAAGAGAGGCCGAAGCGUCAGAGGCGAAGACGUGCCAGGCGAUGCCAUAGCUGCAGCUUUGUGGGGUCAAGAGCCAAGCAGUAUAGGAAGCCUCUCAAAGCUCUGAUAAGGCAAGGAAAUGGAUUCUUUGCUGGCGCGUCUGGAAGGAGUGCAGCAUGGCCAUCCCCUUGUUUUAAGCUGGACGCGACUGAUUUGGGAAUUCUAACCUCCAAAACUUAAGGCCGAGGAAUGGCUGUGUAAUUGAAGAGCCCCCGUGAAAAGUGAAGAUGGGGUUCACAGAUCAGUAGGAACUUCAAUAAGGAAAUGGCAGAGCAUUGAAACCUCCCAGGAUACCUUUGAAGCCAGCCCUCGGAGGAAACCCUCUAUUCUUUUGGGAAGAAUUAGGUGCCCUGUCGAUGACUCCUUUAGAAAACAAUCACCCAAAAUCCCAAAUUAAGAUCCCCCCUGAGUGUGGCAAAUGCAGUCACACGGGCAUAUGGUGCUUCGGAGAAUCCAAGAGAAUGGAUUUCCAAGCAAGAUACAUUUCAGGUUCGGCACACCGGCAAGUUGAACAAACUCACAGAGGCGCACACCGAUUUUAGGAGGAAAAGCUGGACAAGCAUCUUAACUGCCUUUAUUUGAGACAACGCAGUGGUCAUGCCUCUCUUAAUCAUGGAAGUUCCGCAGGAACCAUCAGCUCUCACAAGAGCAUUUCACUAUUACACAGUCAGAACCUGGUGCAACAGCUUCUCGAGUCAAAAAACUGAGAGGGAAGAAGCGGGGUGACCACUGUGGCGUGAAGAGGGGACGCAGAAAUCCCAUCUCCCCUGCCUCGUAGUACCGCCACUCCCUUCCAAUGAUGCUGCCGUUGCUCAAACGUCGUGCAUGCCGCCUCUGGUGCUACCCACAGUACUUCCUCUCCAAACAUACGGAGAAGUGUUUCAAGGCGUAGGUAAUCACCACUGGUGACUCUGUGAGGGGUCCAACUAGAUAGUGAGGAUUUUUCUUUUUCGUUACGGCAGAUUCAAAGAUAAGGAGACAAGUUUUCUUUCACAGCUAAGUCAUCAACUACUCACAAGGGGAAUCCACGGGAUAAAGUCUCAGAGUUUUUGAGCAAUGCCAGCAUAAUGGGGGGAGGUUCAAAACAUCCAGCUGAUUAUGGAAGGACACUUCCGGUUGUAAUUGGUGGGAUAGGUUUGCAUAACAACAAAACAAAAGAAAAAUCACUGAAAUUUUAUCUCAUGUUAUAUGGGAAAAAAUCUGUCCUCUCAAGUAUGCUUGUAAUUGUAGUCUCCUCUUUCAAGAAACUUUUUCUUUUUUAUACUGUAUUAAGGCACAGGAGAGGGAUACUAAGGAUCUCCUCUUACCUCCUAAAACAAUAAUACUAAGGAGAUUUAAAAUAAACCCAAGUUUUCUUUUUAAAAAUCCCAGACAGAUCAUGUAUACACAUUGAAGACAUAAUUGGGGGAAAAAAAUCAACCUUUCCCCUCAACCUUAUCAUUGUCUAAUAUUUUAAAAUAAGCAUCGAAAUGUUUAGCCCUGCAAAAGAUCUAAAGAAACCACAUCUGCCAGAAGGAUUGCUAUUGAUCUGUCUCAAGCAUAUAGCCAUGUAUGAUAUAAACUCAAACUUAAGGUUUGUUUUCCAAGACUAUACAGCUCUGCAAAAAUAUCCAGAAAUCCAGUUUCCCAAAAAGAUGAGUAAGCCCCUUUCAGUCACAAUUUAAACUGGGCAUUUCAUCUUUUAAGAUUACAAUACAAAUAAGAUGAAUCAUUUGGUACUUUAUCUAGGAUUGUUCCUACUGAUGGCACUUUUUCCUGCAGUUUGCAAAAAUGAAAAAGUUAAAGCUGUAGAUCUGAGCCUAAAUUUCAUAUUCGCAACUAGUAAUUAUUUUUAAAUCUGAUCAUUUGCCAUUUAAAAAAGGCAAUUUGAAGAAAAUGUCUGCUUCAUGCUUAUGCUUCCUGUAUUUUGAAAGCAUUCACAGCUAAAGAUACUCUGGAUUUUAUCCCCUAAGGAGGGCUGAGGAAGAAAGGGUAAGAUCUUGAACAGAGGUCUCCUUCAGCACCCAAGUGUUUUAAUGGAAUGAAAAAGGACACUUCAAGCCAUAAUAGAUAUGCAGGGCUGGGUAAGGUUGAUAAAUUAAUUCUAUGGUUAUGUUCAUUUUCUUUUAAAAUGCUAACUUACCAAGAACAUAACAGAGGAAACGUGUUUUCUGUUUUUGUUUUUGUCCUAUCUAAAAUUUAAAAAGUAGCAAAGUGAAUUUCCUUUGCACCCUAACAUUAAUCCCUAUCAUAUUUAUGAGGACGUACAGUAUCCUAAGAUAUGUGCAUUUUAAAUGUUCCAAACUGUGGUGGAAUUGGGGCAUUCUGAGAAUUCUAGGUAGCAAAAGAGCACAAAAAUUGUGACAUGGGACUGGCCCUCUUCUAUAGCAGGAACAUUUAAACCAAGAAAUUGAGAGGUAAAAUUCAAAAAUUUGUGAGGGCUUCAUUGAAUACAGCAGAAAAUGACCCAACUAGAAAUGAGGUAUGUCAUGUGACCCUCCAGCCUUGUUAGGGCAUUCCCCGUGGAGCUGAGGAAUUUGAUCUGUUUUACAGCAAACAGAUGUUUGGUGUUAGGGUGAAGGUACACAAUUUUUCAGAGUAUCUAUGAAUCUCUGAUUAAUAGUUUGAUGCAAAAAAGGAACUAAAUCCAAAACCUUAAUAAUGUAUUUUGCUUUCCUGUAAUGACUCCUGUAUAUAGUGCUACUACUUAGAUUGUGUAGCUCUCUCUACUAAUUACACUAAGGAGCUUUUUAAAAAU